This 484-nucleotide ribosomal RNA is filed under the name uncultured bacterium. RNAcentral's name for it is "partial 16S ribosomal RNA". It matches the Rfam family "Bacterial small subunit ribosomal RNA", at positions 30 to 507 of the family's 1533-position model. The record is from RNAcentral.
AUUGAACGCUGGCGGCAGGCCUAACACAUGCAAGUCGAGCGGACGAUUGGAGCUUGCUCCUGGAUUCAGCGGCGGACGGGGGUGUAAUGCCUAGGAAUCUGCCGGCUGUUGGGGGAUAACGACCGCAAACGGGCGCAAAUACCGCAGGCUACCAUAGGGAGCAAGAUGGGGUUCUACUAAACGCACGCUUUCAGCUACGCCUUGGACGGAUUACCUAGGUGGUGGGGUAAAGGCCUCCCAAGGCGACGAUCCGUAACUGGGCUGAGAGGAUGAUCAGUCACACUGGAACUGAGCCACGCUCCAGCCUCCUACGGGAGGCAGCAGUGGGGAAUAUUGGCCAUUGGGCGAAGGCCUGAUCCAGCCCUGCCGCGUGUGUGAAGAAGGUCUUCGGAUUGUAAAGCACUUUAAGUUGGGAGGAAGGGCAGUAAGUUAAUACCUUGCUGUUUUGACGUUACCAACAGAAUAAGCACCGGCUAACUUCGUG